This 115-nucleotide transfer RNA is filed under the name Thermoproteus tenax Kra 1. It matches the Rfam family "tRNA". Rfam says of the family: Transfer RNA (tRNA) molecules are approximately 80 nucleotides in length. Their secondary structure includes four short double-helical elements and three loops (D, anti-codon, and T loops). Lineage: Archaea; Thermoproteati; Thermoproteota; Thermoprotei; Thermoproteales; Thermoproteaceae. The record is from Rfam by way of RNAcentral.
CGGCCCGUAGCUCAGCGGUGAGAGCGCCCGGCUGUAGACAGCCCGGGGGGCGACAUCUGCUUAAAAGCCCCCCGCCUAUAACGGGCGGUCCCGGGUUCGAAUCCCGGCGGGCCGA